UACGAAGGGGGCGAGCGUUGUUCGGAUUUACUGGGCGUAAAGGGCGCGUAGGCGGCGGGUCAAGUCGAGUGUGAAAGCCCCGGGCUCAACCUGGGAAUUGCGCUCGAGACUGGUCUGCUUGAGUUCGGGAGAGGAGAGUGGAAUUCCCAGUGUAGAGGUGAAAUGCGUAGAUAUCUGGAGGAAUACCGGUGGCGAAGGCGGCAUCCUGGACCGACAUUGACGCUGAUGAGCGAAAGCUAGGGGAGCAAACGGG
RNAcentral lists this ribosomal RNA (253 nucleotides) under uncultured bacterium. Its description in RNAcentral is "partial 16S ribosomal RNA". It matches the Rfam family "Bacterial small subunit ribosomal RNA", at positions 524 to 776 of the family's 1533-position model. The record is from RNAcentral.